GACGAACGCUGGCGGCGUGCUUAAUACAUGCAAGUCGAACGGACAGGCCCUGCUCUUGUUGGUUUCUCGAUUGGCGAACGGGUGAGUAACACGUGAGUAACCUGCCCUUGUCUUUGUGAUAACUUUAGGAAACUGGGGCUAAUACCGGAUAUGAUCUCCUGCUCCAUGUUGUUGGUUGGAAAGUUUCGGCGGUUGGGUAUGUACUCGCGGCUUCUCAGCUUGUUGGUGGGGUAGUGGCUUACCAAGGCUUCGACGGGUAGCCGGCCUGAGAGGGUUAACGGCCACAUUGGGACUGAGAUACGGACCAGACUCCUACGGGAGGCAGCAGGGGGGAAUAUUGCAGAAUGGGCGGAAGCCUGAUGCAGAAACGCCGCGUGCGGGAUGACGGCCUUCGGGUUGUAAACCGCUUUCGACGGUGACGAAGCGUGAGUGACGGUAAUGGGUAAAGAAGCAACGGCUAACUACGUG
RNAcentral lists this ribosomal RNA (468 nucleotides) under uncultured bacterium. RNAcentral describes it as "partial 16S ribosomal RNA". It matches the Rfam family "Bacterial small subunit ribosomal RNA", at positions 28 to 507 of the family's 1533-position model. The record is from RNAcentral.